This is a long non-coding RNA of Grammomys surdaster, 1088 nucleotides long. RefSeq lists it as uncharacterized. The record is from RefSeq and is a predicted model, not a curated record. The transcript is spliced from 3 exons. Lineage: Eukaryota; Metazoa; Chordata; Mammalia; Rodentia; Muridae.
CCGUGCCCUGCGCGCAGCGGCUUUGACAGCUGGUGGAGCCGCUGCCCAAUGGAAAGGCACGCUGCUAACCACUGCCCAAUGAGAAGGGAUGCUGGGGCGGAAAGGCCCAUCUCAGGAGGUGCACACCGAGAGACAUUGCAAGGCUCCACAGCGUGCUGUCAGGGUUGCCGACUGUCAGAGUAAACUGAAGUGCUGAGAGAAGCAGCCAGUAUCCACAGAGGCCUCCUCUGGUGUUCACUGCCAGACCAGAAUCCUGCUCACCCACCCAUUCCAGACUUUGAUUCAUUCUUUCCCGCCCAGCGUGCAUGGGGCCCAGACACUCCAAGGGAAGAAGUGGAUCACAGAACUUGGCUCCUGGACACCCCAAGGAGAGAAGCGAAAAACAGAACCACCCAAGAUUUAUGAAAGCUAGGAUUUUACAACAAAGUUUGUUUAAUAAGACACUAACCCUGCACCUCUAUGUGUUUGUAUACAAGAAAGCACCUCCUGCUGGCUCAAAGGGUUUUCCAGCACAAGGGUAUCUUGGCAAUCGAGAGUCAAGAAAUAUAACAAAAUCACAUCAUACAACACAUCUCACACAAGGGAUUAUUGGGGUGAAACACAGAAUGGGGGCUGCUUCUGAGGAGAAAAGGAACAGAAAAAACAGCCAGCUGGGUGGAGAGGACAGACUUUAUAGGAUUUUUGGAGCAUGCGCAUUGAGUUAGUAGAGCAUGCUGGAUGAACUCGUGGAGAAGCACAGCACCGCUGGAAGUAUUGCUUGGCUGUUAAUUCUGAGUCAUAGAAGUGGGAAUUUCCAAGUCCCGAGUGUGGCGACAGGACAGGGACAGGGUGAUUUUUACUGGCCUGUUACCCUACAUUUCUCAUGUUUUGAUCCACUACUGAUAACCAAUUCCUCGGUCAGGAGAUGGGACAUUGUUUAUUCUUAGACUAUUUCUUGCUGUUUGGCAGCAUCAAAGUCCUUGAGUCAAGCCUAAUCAUCACUGUCAGGGCAUAAUUAGGGGGCCGAAAGCCUCUAGUUCUGUAGCUAGGAGCUGAUAAUCCUAUAAAAACAAGUGAUUAAAAGUCUGGUUAGAAGCCGGGCGUUGGUG